ACUCCUACGGGAGGCAGCAGUGGGGAAUAUUGCACAAUGGGGGAAAACCCUGAUGCAGCCAUGCCGCGUGUGUGAAGAAGGCCUUGGGUUGUAAAGCACUUUCAGUAGGGAGGAAGGUAGUGUAGUUAACACCUGCAUUAUUUGUACGUUACCUACAGAAGAAGCACCGGCUAACUCCGUGCCAGCAGCCGCGGUAAGUACGGAGGGUGCGAGCGUUAAUCGGAAUUACUGGGCGUAAAGCGCAUGCAGGCGGCCUGUUAAGUCAGAUGUGAAACGCCCGGGGUCUUAACCGUCGGAAUUGCAUUUGAAACUGGCAGGCUAGAGUCUUGGUAGAGGGGUUAGUAAUUUCGAGGUGUAGCGGUGAAAUGCGUAGAGAUCUGAAGG
RNAcentral lists this ribosomal RNA (384 nucleotides) under uncultured bacterium. Its description in RNAcentral is "bacterial SSU rRNA". It matches the Rfam family "Bacterial small subunit ribosomal RNA", at positions 335 to 704 of the family's 1533-position model. The record is from RNAcentral.